GUUGCUUCUUAUGGUGAACUCUCUCGUAGCAAUACAAAACAAUGAGGGAUGUUCAAGUUUCCGAAGCAUAAAUCAAAGUGUCAGUAUUAAACAGUUUGGUGCACAUUC
This 108-nucleotide non-coding RNA is filed under the name Nicotiana sylvestris (wood tobacco). RNAcentral's name for it is "small nucleolar RNA snoR137". It matches the Rfam family "small nucleolar RNA snoR137", at positions 1 to 106 of the family's 146-position model. Lineage: Eukaryota; Viridiplantae; Streptophyta; Magnoliopsida; Solanales; Solanaceae. The record is from Rfam by way of RNAcentral. RNAcentral also lists the same sequence under 1 other name.